UAAGAUUUUUUGUGAAAAAAUUCAAAACAGGAAGACAUCAAGUUUAGAGAAAACAGAUCCUGAAUGAAAUUUAUUCAAUCUCUGAUGAAGGGUAGAAAUACGAAUUAGUGUCCCAAAUAUUACCACAAACACGUUUUUUAUUAUGCACCUGAUCAUGUUGGACCAAGAGUACUUGAAUUCUUAUGAUUGGAUACUUGUAGUACAAUUGUGAGACAAACUAUGAAAUUAUAGCCAUUGCGUCACUGUUUAUCAGUACUGAUUUUUUGUUAAAAUUAAAGCCUAAAGGUUAUCCUACGGAUAGUUAAAUGUGGUAUACUAAAC
Paramuricea clavata is the source of this 321-nucleotide non-coding RNA. The record is from the annotation of a GenBank genome assembly. Lineage: Eukaryota; Metazoa; Cnidaria; Anthozoa; Malacalcyonacea; Plexauridae.